This 465-nucleotide ribosomal RNA is filed under the name uncultured bacterium. RNAcentral's name for it is "partial 16S ribosomal RNA". It matches the Rfam family "Bacterial small subunit ribosomal RNA", at positions 338 to 795 of the family's 1533-position model. The record is from RNAcentral.
CCUACGGGAGGCAGCAGUAGGGAAUUUUCGUCAAUGGGCGCAAGCCUGAACGAGCGAUGCCGCGUGAGUGAAGAAGGCCUUCGGGUCGUAAAGCUCUGUUGCGGGGGAAAAAAGGCAGCAUCAGGAAAUGGGUGCUGACUGAUGGUGCCCCGCCAGAAAGUCACGGCUAACUACGUGCCAGCAGCCGCGGUAAUACGUAGGUGGCGAGCGUUAUCCGGAAUGGUUGGGCGUAAAGGGGGCGCAGGCGGUCCUGCAAGUCUGGAGUGAAACGCAUGGGCUCAACUCAUGCAUGGCUUUGGAAACUGGAGGACUGGAGAGCAGGAGAGGGCGGUGGAACUCCAAGUGUAGCGGUAAAAUGCGUAGAUAUAUGGAAGAACACCAGUGGCGAAGGCGGCCGCCUGGCCUGUUGCUGACGCUGAGGCACGAAAGCGUGGGGAGCAAAUAGGAUUAGAUACCCUGGUAGUC